RNAcentral lists this ribosomal RNA (331 nucleotides) under Oligonicella sp. 3 JMR-2016. RNAcentral describes it as "partial 12S ribosomal RNA". The record is from RNAcentral. Lineage: Eukaryota; Metazoa; Arthropoda; Insecta; Mantodea; Thespidae.
AGAUAUAGUCUUUAAACUCAAAGAAUUUGGCGGUAUUAUAAUCUUUUUAGAGGAAUCUGUCUCGUAAUCGAUAGUCCGCGUUGAACCUUACUUAUUUAAUUUUCUUGUAUACCGCUGUUUGAGGGAAAUACUUUUAGGUUUAUAUUUUCUUGAUAAAUUAAUAAUUAAAAUUUCAAGUCAAGGUGCAGUAAUGAAUAAGUUGAAUGAUGGAUUACAAUAAAUUUUAUUUAUUAUGAUGGAUUAUUAUUUAAUAGUAAUAUGAAGGUGGAUUUAAUUGUAAUUUUUUGAAGAUUGUUGAAAUGAAUAUGGCUCUAUAAUAUGUACACAUCGC